GAUGAAGAACGUAGCGAAAUGCGAUAAGUAAUGUGAAUUGCAGAAUUCAGUGAAUCAUCGAAUCUUUGAACGCACAUUGCGCCCCUUGGUAUUCCGAGGGGCAUGCCUGUUCGAGCGUCAUUACAACCCUCAGGCCCCCGGGCCUGGCGUUGGGGAUCGGCGGAGCCCCCCGUGGGCACACGCCGUCCCCCAAAUGCAGUGGCGGUCCCGCCGCAGCUUCCAUCGCGUAGUAGCUAACACCUCGCGACUGGAGAGCGGCGCGGCCACGCCGUAAAACACCCAACUCUUCUGAAGUUGACCUCGAAUCAGGUAGGAAUACCCGCUGAACUUAAGCAUAUCAAUAAGCGGAGGA
Molecule: unclassified non-coding RNA, 352 nt
Filed under: soil metagenome
Description: partial contains 5.8S ribosomal RNA, internal transcribed spacer 2, and large subunit ribosomal RNA
Rfam family: 5.8S ribosomal RNA (bases 1-120)
Source: RNAcentral